UUGCUGUAGACUGAAGAUAUUUUUGCUUGAGAUCAAAAGAUGAAUAUGAGAAGAGAGUUUAGAAUUUCAGCUUUUAUUUCCUAGUAUUUAUGUGCAUAUUUAUAUUUAUGAUGUGUUGAAUGACAUAGAACAUGGCAUUUUGUAUCCGGCCACCCAAUUUGUAGGUGAGCAUAGUAUAGCUCUGAACCAUCUCCUCUUGGAUUUAGCCUUCAGUUUCACCUGUGAAGACUGCAUUUGUUGUUAAAAUGGAUAAGCCAACAUGUAGAUCAGACAGCUGUCUAUGGGAGAAAAGCAAGCCAUUUUGAAGCUGAGAAAAGAGGGAAAAUCAAUCAGAGACAUUGCACAAUGUCCUGAAGAAGGAAGCAACCACUUGGAAACAACAGUUCAUGACACAGACAUUGUGAGAGCUGUGAAGAAAACCCCAAAAACUACAUCACCAACAACCUCCACAGGGCAGGGAUGAAGGUAUCACAAUCCACCGUUCGAAGAAUACUUAGAGAGCAGAAAUAUAGAGGCCAUACCACAAGAUGCAUACCACUCCUCGUCAGUAAAAAUCAGAAAGCCAGAUUGGAAUUCGCAAAGAAAUACGGAGAUGAGCAAGUUAUGGCAUGUCACGAGCCUUUCAUAACAAACAGAGAUUAUUUGUUCAAAUUGUGUGAAAAUUAUUCAGCGACGUCAUGGAUGACAAGUAAAAUUACUGUAGGAAUAGCUAGUUGUGUCUUUGUCACUUUAAGGAAAAUAGAAAAAUGGUCCACUCAAGCUUUUUAUACAUUUUCUAUCCCAUAAACCUCAGUGCAGUAUCAUUCCUCAAUCACAAGGCCUUCUUUUCCCCUUUAUUAGACAUCUGAAUGUAAAUAUAUAUGAAAACCUCUUCAAAUACUGGACUGCUCUUAUAAAGCUUUAAAAUGAUGAUCUUGUCUUUUUAAUAUUCAUAACCAACUGCUCUCGAUUGACGAACUCCAUAAAAUAUUUGAACAUUUUAGCACACUUCAAACCCCAUUGCUUUUAUACUGUUUUGAAGAGACUGUUCUUACUGUUUU
Molecule: long non-coding RNA, 1040 nt
Organism: Ictalurus punctatus (channel catfish)
Lineage: Eukaryota; Metazoa; Chordata; Actinopteri; Siluriformes; Ictaluridae
Source: Ensembl